GUUGACCUCGAAUCAGGUAGGACUACCC
RNAcentral lists this ribosomal RNA (28 nucleotides) under Metarhizium anisopliae. RNAcentral describes it as "partial 28S ribosomal RNA". Lineage: Eukaryota; Fungi; Ascomycota; Sordariomycetes; Hypocreales; Clavicipitaceae. The record is from RNAcentral.